RNAcentral lists this long non-coding RNA (620 nucleotides) under Struthio camelus australis. Its description in RNAcentral is "lncRNA (ENSSCUG00000016449.1)". The record is from RNAcentral. Lineage: Eukaryota; Metazoa; Chordata; Aves; Struthioniformes; Struthionidae.
GGGGGGGUCUCCCCCCCCAGCACGAGUGAGGGUUGAGCUGGCCUCUCCCACAGUGAUGCCGAACCUGUCCUGGGAUGAGGAGGAGGAGGCGGCAGAGGAGGAAGAGUCUGCAGAGGAGUCCCCCGAGAAGCCCCCCAAGGCCCAGGCUGCCAAGAAGGGCAGCGUCGCCAAGGAACAGCGUCUCCUCCGAGGAUCCCCUUCCCAGCAAGGUAGGAGCCGGCCGUGCUGCCGGGGAGUCUCCGUCUGUGUCCUGUGCCUUCCCAGUGGCUCCCUCUCCGCCCCUGGCUGGCUCCGGGCAGGCUCUGAGCUCCCGUGGGACCACAGGGCCUGCCUGGAUUAAUCCUGCUCGAUCAGGACUGAGAGCCCUUGGGGAAGGAAAGGGACUGACACGUGAUGCUCAUCAUGGUCCUGGCUGGUUGCUGGACUCUCUAAAAUGGGAGAGUAAUGAAGGGCCCGGGAAGGUCGGGUUGUCCUGGCUGGGCUCGGCCUGGGCUCCCUGUGCUCAGCACCGCGCGGCUGUGGUAAGCCGUGGUCUUGGUCCUCUGGCAGGGGCGAGGAGCAGGCAGGGGGAAGAAGCCAGCAGCAAAGAAGUAGUGUGAGCUACAGCAGGGCCUGGCCAG